RNAcentral lists this ribosomal RNA (98 nucleotides) under Vibrio vulnificus. RNAcentral's name for it is "partial 16S ribosomal RNA". It matches the Rfam family "Bacterial small subunit ribosomal RNA", at positions 1445 to 1533 of the family's 1533-position model. RNAcentral also lists the same sequence under 2 other names. Lineage: Bacteria; Pseudomonadati; Pseudomonadota; Gammaproteobacteria; Vibrionales; Vibrionaceae. The record is from RNAcentral.
GGAGGACGCUCACCACUUUGUGGUUCAUGACUGGGGUGAAGUCGUAACAAGGUAGCGCUAGGGGAACCUGGCGCUGGAUCACCUCCUUAUACGAUGAU